Molecule: ribosomal RNA, 588 nt
Filed under: Geomyces sp. 15PA02
Lineage: Eukaryota; Fungi; Ascomycota; Leotiomycetes; Thelebolales; Pseudeurotiaceae
Description: eukaryotic LSU rRNA
Rfam family: 5.8S ribosomal RNA (bases 239-392)
Source: RNAcentral
UUAGAGGAAGUAAAAGUCGUAACAAGGUUUCCGUAGGUGAACCUGCGGAAGGAUCAUUAAUGUUAUAGCAACCCUCUGGCUGAAAAUGCCAGGGGGCACAUCUAUACCACCCUUUGUUUAUCACACCUUUGUUGCUUUGGCAGGCCAGUCUUCGGACUGCCGGCUCCGGCCGGACAGCGCCUGCCAGAGGACCUAAACUCUGUUUGUCUAUAAUGUCUGAGUACUAUAUAAUAGUUAAAACUUUCAACAACGGAUCUCUUGGUUCUGGCAUCGAUGAAGAACGCAGCGAAAUGCGAUAAGUAAUGUGAAUUGCAGAAUUCAGUGAAUCAUCGAAUCUUUGAACGCACAUUGCGCCCCCUGGUAUUCCGGGGGGCAUGCCUGUUCGAGCGUCAUUACAACCCUCAAGCUCUGCUUGGUAUUGGGCCCCGCCGACCCGGCGAGCCCUAAAAUCAGUGGCGGUGCCGUCUGGUUCCGAGCGUAGUAAUUCUUCUCGCUUUGGAGGCCGGGCGUGUGCUUGCCAGCAACCCCCAAUUUUUUUCAGGUUGACCUCGGAUCAGGUAGGGAUACCCGCUGAACUUAAGCAUAUCA